RNAcentral lists this ribosomal RNA (443 nucleotides) under Vibrio fluvialis. Its description in RNAcentral is "bacterial SSU rRNA". It matches the Rfam family "Bacterial small subunit ribosomal RNA", at positions 1 to 430 of the family's 1533-position model. The record is from RNAcentral. Lineage: Bacteria; Pseudomonadati; Pseudomonadota; Gammaproteobacteria; Vibrionales; Vibrionaceae.
UAAUUGAAGAGUUUGAUCAUGGCUCAGAUUGAACGCUGGCGGCAGGCCUAACACAUGCAAGUCGAGCGGCAGCGACAACAUUGAACCUUCGGGGGAUUUGUUGGGCGGCGAGCGGCGGACGGGUGAGUAAUGCCUGGGAAAUUGCCCUGAUGUGGGGGAUAACCAUUGGAAACGAUGGCUAAUACCGCAUGAUAGCUUCGGCUCAAAGAGGGGGACCUUCGGGCCUCUCGCGUCAGGAUAUGCCCAGGUGGGAUUAGCUAGUUGGUGAGGUAAGGGCUCACCAAGGCGACGAUCCCUAGCUGGUCUGAGAGGAUGAUCAGCCACACUGGAACUGAGACACGGUCCAGACUCCUACGGGAGGCAGCAGUGGGGAAUAUUGCACAAUGGGCGCAAGCCUGAUGCAGCCAUGCCGCGUGUAUGAAGAAGGCCUUCGGGUUGUAAAG